CCUCUUUUAAGAACCUCCAACAUUUUUCGGACACCCUGUAUAUAGUUUCAAUUAGACAUUUGACAACACUAAAACACAAUUGCAAUAAACAUUUAAAUAUUUACCUUUAAAGAAUACCUAAAAUCUAAAUUAAUCAAAUAUUCAUGACGCAACCAUUACGAUAUCUACAAUAUAUAAAAUAAUAAAAAUAAGAGUGGAAAAUUAAUCUAAACCUAGAAACAGCACUAAUAUUCCCAGAAACAUGUGCAAAAUACCAUCAAUUAUUUUAAGGACACCAAACUUUACAGUAGUACAUAACACCGUUAAUUAAUCAGAAACCCAAUCGAAUUCGUUUCUAAUUAAACUUUUAUUCGUGCUGUAGAUGCGACGUAAAAUAAAUCCAUAUAAAAAAAAAAUGUAGAUAAUGAGAAAAAAUGAAAAUGUUAACAGGAAAAGGGGAUAUAAUCAACAAAAACCUCACUAUAAAAUAAAGAAAUAAAAUAAAAUAAAAAAAGAUCAAUUAACUUCGAAGAAAGAAAUCGUUGAAUGUAGCUAUGAUCUUCGGCGCGUCCUUCCUCUAUAUUAAAGCCUUUAAUUUAAAGGAACACUCGUGCCUGGCUGUUAAUUCGAAUAAUGGAAUUACCGUCGUGCAAAUAGUGCCUGUCACUCUGUUCGUUUCAAGAGUAGAAGUUUCACCUACAAAGGCGUCACUCGAUGGAACUAAAUGUCGUGGUCUGUAAGUACGUGUCCCGCGUAACUAACGCGGCACAAUAUUCCGAUGCAGCCGAGUAAAUUUCAUAAACGUUCCCUUGACAUUGCCGGUAGCAACAACCGUGACACAUUAAUGUCACAGGGUGCCACGGAACGGUGCAACUCACCUUUCGUGGCGGUUGCGUAACCGUACACGAUGCACCGCAUUAAUUCCGCGAGGACCUCGAGGUGUUCGCACGCAGUGCCGUAACGAGUCCACGAAGGGCCCGUGGCAAUUCUGCGUUCCAAGACCGAUAGCGACGCCAUGUCCCAAAAGCGGCCAAAUUAAGAACUAAUAAUCACUCAUAACUGCGUGAUAGGGAUUGGGACUGAGUGGAACACGCAAUCAGAAAUUAUGUAAAAACACAAGAUAUAAAGCAAAAAAAAGCAAGAGAUUCGAAAUUUGUAUCAUUAUAUAUAUGUUUCCAAGCAAUCCUCAACUUCUAGAGGAAUGAAUCCAAGCUUUACUCGCUUUCAUUGGCCAGAACAGUGCUUUAAGCUUGCAUACCCUGCAAUGGAAAUAAACUACUACUACUACAGCGCUUUAAGUUUGCCAAAAAUGACAAUUAUUGACAAUCAUUUUAUUGGGUCUUCGAGUUCCAAAGAAAUUAAACCUAAAGAAAACCUAGUGGUGACUGAGAGUCACCUCUCGAGUGCAAAGGGUUAACCAUUUAACUGUGCCAUCAAGGAAAGAUACAUAUUUAUAUUUCUCAGGUUUCCAAGCAAUCCUCAACUUCUAGAGGAAUGGGUCCAAGCUUUACUCACUUCGAAUAACCAGAACAGUGCUUUAAGCUUGCCAAAAAUGGCAUCGAUACAUGCAGAGCACUUUGAUAAAGCAUGUUUUUCAUAAAAUCACCAUUUGUGUCAUCACAAAUUUGAAUAUUGAAAGCUUAUUUCAAAAUUUUAAUGCCCAUAUUAAAGCCCACGUGCUUAUUACGGCACUGUCCGUACGUUGCACGCUUAUGCAUAGCGUUACAUCAUAAAAUGAAUGCAACUACUUCACAAUGAUCUCGUAACCUUGAAACGUGAUGCCAAUGUUGAUCAUUCAAUGUUAAAUGCUUCCAUUACUGGUUCACUUCCGGAGACAAUUAUAACAAACUGAUUAGCGCUGAUAAAACACGCUGGACAGUAAAUUGAAGAAGAUUAUGAUUGAAGAAAAUUAUGUUUAUACCAUUAAGGACAAUUGUUAAUAAAAAAUAUUAUAUUCAUGGCACUAAAAAAUAAUAUGAUUCAAGAAAAUUGUGUUUAUGCCAUUGAUGAAUAAUAAGAAUGAAGAAAAUCAUGUUUAUACCAGUAAGGACAAUUAUUAAUGAAAAGUAUUAUGUUUAUAUCAUUGAAAAAUAAUAUGAUUGAAGAAAAUUGUGUUUACGCCAUUGAUGAAUAAUAUGAAUGAAGAAUUCAUUCAGAAUAAUGCAGUAAAGUGUAUUGAUAGUUCGUAUCCUUUAUUUUAAAAGCAAAGGACAAAUUCUAUUAAUAUAUGAUACGUCUUUGUUGUAAACAAAAUUAUACAAAUUAAGAAGUUCAAUGAAAAUACAAAUACCAGGUGUAAACUAUAAUGAUUCCAAGUGCUGUUAUUAAUUUAACUUUCAAUUAAAAAUCUUAUAUUUCAAAGAACCUAGUUACUAUAGAAGUACACAAAAUUUUAAUCUGUAAGGAACUUAAUUUUGUUUAUUAAUUUCAUCAUAUUUUAAUUAGGCGAGUCCGUAGUGCUUAGGAAAGAAAAAUAAUACUAAUCAUAAAAUAUAAUUUUCCUUUGACCAAAAAUAAAACAGAAAAUUCACGAAUACGUAAAUAAAGAUACAUAGAUAAUCACUUCAAUUAACUGAUUAUAUAUAAUGAAAAUAAGUUUCUCUAAAAGACUCUACACAAACAAAAUAAAAUAAAUAUGAUUCAUGAAAUUAAUAAAUUCCAUAAAAAUUAAUAAAAGAUAAAAUCAAUUGGAAAUCUGCUUUUAUAAAUACUAAUUCUUUAAUCAUACAUUAAUGAUUUAAUCAUACAUAUAAUAAGAAAAAUAAUAAUUGAACGAAGUAAAUAUUAGUUGGAAGAAACAAGGCUCCAAAAGUUCUAGGAGACUCCCUAAAUUCAAGAAAAACAAAGAGUCUCGUCUUCAAAGCACCGACUGGAGCAAUCUUCUCUAAAAGAAAGAAACCAGAUAACCCAAUAAUAGGUAUAAUUCGGUUGGAAGUAAUCGAUGAAGUACAGAGAAGAUUUAAAAGAAAUACAGGAACAUCGUAUUUAUAAAAUGAUUACUAAAGCUAACUGCGUUGGCGUAACGAAGCGUUAACUUGUACUGCGACGACGUCAGAGAUAAUAUCAGCCACUUAACAAGCUAUUGCGUCGGUUAUAAGGUGUGCUUUUUAUUCCAAAUGAAUCCAAACAUAAUUUUAACACUGUUCAUUCACCUAAAAUCCAGGAAACGCGAAGGCCGUCCAAAGCCCUCGAAGGGUGGGAUUUAAAUGCAUCGAACCUUGAGAGGAACCACUCCGAACUUAUUGAUUGGACGUAAUUAAACCGGAUCAGCUGUGCGCACGUUAAUCACACCGUCUGGCUAGGUCGUUCGUUUUGUAACGGGUAAAUACGUCGAACGAGAUAAGCCUUGACCGAUUAAGUCGGUGGUUCUUAACCUUUUCCACGCUAUCGAAGCUCAAUUAUCAGGAAUUCAAGCAUCACUUUUUCAAUCAAGUUCCAAGUAUGCUAAUCCGAAGAAACAUUGCUUUAACUUAUUUUGGAUUGCUGGAACAUCAAACUUGGGAACUCUUCAAGUGAUAUUAUUCGAAAUAUCAUUUAUUUAUGUAUAUAUAUUUAUAUAUAAUAAAUUUAUUUGUAAAUAUUAAAUCUAUAAUUUAAUUAAAAAAUACAUGUAUGUAGAUUUUGGGAUGAUCGAGGGUGGUGAAUAAAUUAGACACGUGAGAAACUUGUAAAUAUAAUAUAAUUAAUAAUAUAAGAUUGAAAUGGUAUAAAAGAAACCUGACGAAACACGUCCAAACGUACUGUUAUACACUCAUAGUAAAUAUUUUUCGCUAUUACUCAUUCCUGACCCUUCAGCUUUCAAACUCUUCUUCCUUUCUCAUACAGUUAUACCCCAAAGUCCAGUUUCCGAAAUCCAUAAAUGGCCCCAGUUUUCCAUCCGGCAGUUAUCAGUUUUACCGCGCGCAUACCAGUUUGUAUCACCGAAUUUUAUAAUAAAGUAUUGUUUUCCGCUAACGUCGGUCUUUAAUUGAAUAAUAUCAAGUGAGACCCUAUCUCCUGUCGACGAUAUCGAGGUAUCAGGGCCGGCGUUAGGAGAGGGGGGGGGGCGCCAGAUUUUUGGGAGCGUCGCAGUCCUGUGUCCCUAUUAUACGAAUAUACCGAUAUACAGGGUGUACCUAGUAUACGAAUAUACCGAUAUACAGGGUAUCCCAAAAAUGUUGUAACACAUUCAAAGAGGUGGUUCGGGAGGUGAUUUGAAACAACUUUUUCCUUAGCGAAAAUAUUGUCCGAGGCUUCGUUGAGGAGAUAUUAACGGAUAACACUGACCAAUUAGAGCACGCGAAUACCGUUGGAGCGCUCUGAUUGGUCGGUGUUUUCUGUUGAUAUC
This is a long non-coding RNA of Hylaeus volcanicus, 4306 nucleotides long. RefSeq lists it as uncharacterized. The transcript has 5 exons. Lineage: Eukaryota; Metazoa; Arthropoda; Insecta; Hymenoptera; Colletidae. The record is from RefSeq and is a predicted model, not a curated record.